RNAcentral lists this ribosomal RNA (180 nucleotides) under uncultured bacterium. RNAcentral's name for it is "partial 16S ribosomal RNA". It matches the Rfam family "Bacterial small subunit ribosomal RNA", at positions 1322 to 1500 of the family's 1533-position model. The record is from RNAcentral.
GAAGCCGGAAUUGCUAGUAAUGGCAGGUCAGCAUACUGCCGUGAAUACGUUCCCGGGCCUUGUACACACCGCCCGUCACACCAUGAGAGUUGGGAAUACCCGAAGCCUGUGAGCCAACUUUAAAAGAGGCAGCAGUCGAAGGUAGAAUCAAUGAUUGGGGUGAAGUCGUAACAAGGUACC